UAGAUAGAAAGAUUAAACUGAAGAGUUUGAUCAUGGCUCAGAUUGAACGCUGGCGGCAGGCUUAACACAUGCAAGUCGAACGAUGAUUAUCUAGCUUGCUAGAUAUGAUUAGUGGCGGACGGGUGAGUAACAUUUAGGAAUCUGCCUAGUAGUGGGGGAUAGCUCGGGGAAACUCGAAUUAAUACCGCAUACGACCUACGGGUGAAAGGGGGCGCAAGCUCUUGCUAUUAGAUGAGCCUAAAUCAGAUUAGCUAGUUGGUGGGGUAAAGGCCCACCAAGGCGACGAUCUGUAACUGGUCUGAGAGGAUGAUCAGUCACACCGGAACUGAGACACGGUCCGGACUCCUACGGGAGGCAGCAGUGGGGAAUAUUGGACAAUGGGGGAAACCCUGAUCCAGCCAUGCCGCGUGUGUGAAGAAGGCCUUUUGGUUGUAAAGCACUUUAAGCAGGGAGGAGAGGCUAAUGGUUAAUACCCAUUAGAUUAGACGUUACCUGCAGAAUAAGCACCGGCUAACUCUGUGCCAGCAGCCGCGGUAAUACAGAGGGUGCGAGCGUUAAUCGGAAUUACUGGGCGUAAAGCGAGUGUAGGUGGCUCAUUAAGUCACAUGUGAAAUCCCCGGGCUUAACCUGGGAACUGCAUGUGAUACUGGUGGUGCUAGAAUAUGUGAGAGGGAAGUAGAAUUCCAGGUGUAGCGGUGAAAUGCGUAGAGAUCUGGAGGAAUACCGAUGGCGAAGGCAGCUUCCUGGCAUAAUAUUGACACUGAGAUUCGAAAGCGUGGGUAGCAAACAGGAUUAGAUACCCUGGUAGUCCACGCCGUAAACGAUGUCUACUAGCCGUUGGGGUCCUUGAGACUUUAGUGGCGCAGUUAACGCGAUAAGUAGACCGCCUGGGGAGUACGGCCGCAAGGUUAAAACUCAAAUGAAUUGACGGGGGCCCGCACAAGCGGUGGAGCAUGUGGUUUAAUUCGAUGCAACGCGAAGAACCUUACCUGGUCUUGACAUAGUGAGAAUCCUGCAGAGAUGCGGGAGUGCCUUCGGGAAUUCACAUACAGGUGCUGCAUGGCUGUCGUCAGCUCGUGUCGUGAGAUGUUGGGUUAAGUCCCGCAACGAGCGCAACCCUUUUCCUUAUUUGCCAGCGGGUUAAGCCGGGAACUUUAAGGAUACUGCCAGUGACAAACUGGAGGAAGGCGGGGACGACGUCAAGUCAUCAUGGCCCUUACGACCAGGGCUACACACGUGCUACAAUGGUAGGUACAGAGGGUUGCUACACAGCGAUGUGAUGCUAAUCUCAAAAAGCCUAUCGUAGUCCGGAUUGGAGUCUGCAACUCGACUCCAUGAAGUCGGAAUCGCUAGUAAUCGCAGAUCAGAAUGCUGCGGUGAAUACGUUCCCGGGCCUUGUACACACCGCCCGUCACACCAUGGGAGUCUAUUGCACCAGAAGUAGGUAGCCUAACGUAAGAGGGCGCUUACCACGGUGUGGUCGAUGACUGGGGUGAAGUCGUAACAAGGUAGCCGUAGGGGAACCUGCGGCUGGAUCACCUCCUUAA
RNAcentral lists this ribosomal RNA (1547 nucleotides) under Faucicola osloensis. RNAcentral's name for it is "bacterial SSU rRNA". It matches the Rfam family "Bacterial small subunit ribosomal RNA". Lineage: Bacteria; Pseudomonadati; Pseudomonadota; Gammaproteobacteria; Moraxellales; Moraxellaceae. The record is from RNAcentral.